This 831-nucleotide ribosomal RNA is filed under the name Enterococcus durans. Its description in RNAcentral is "bacterial SSU rRNA". It matches the Rfam family "Bacterial small subunit ribosomal RNA", at positions 57 to 861 of the family's 1533-position model. Lineage: Bacteria; Bacillati; Bacillota; Bacilli; Lactobacillales; Enterococcaceae. The record is from RNAcentral.
GCAGUCGUACGCUUCUUUUUCCACCGGAGCUUGCUCCACCGGAAAAGAAGAGUGGCGAACGGGUGAGUAACACGUGGGUAACCUGCCCAUCAGAAGGGGAUAACACUUGGAAACAGGUGCUAAUACCGUAUAACAAUCGAAACCGCAUGGUUUUGAUUUGAAAGGCGCUUUCGGGUGUCGCUGAUGGAUGGACCCGCGGUGCAUUAGCUAGUUGGUGAGGUAACGGCUCACCAAGGCCACGAUGCAUAGCCGACCUGAGAGGGUGAUCGGCCACAUUGGGACUGAGACACGGCCCAAACUCCUACGGGAGGCAGCAGUAGGGAAUCUUCGGCAAUGGACGAAAGUCUGACCGAGCAACGCCGCGUGAGUGAAGAAGGUUUUCGGAUCGUAAAACUCUGUUGUUAGAGAAGAACAAGGAUGAGAGUAACUGUUCAUCCCUUGACGGUAUCUAACCAGAAAGCCACGGCUAACUACGUGCCAGCAGCCGCGGUAAUACGUAGGUGGCAAGCGUUGUCCGGAUUUAUUGGGCGUAAAGCGAGCGCAGGCGGUUUCUUAAGUCUGAUGUGAAAGCCCCCGGCUCAACCGGGGAGGGUCAUUGGAAACUGGGAGACUUGAGUGCAGAAGAGGAGAGUGGAAUUCCAUGUGUAGCGGUGAAAUGCGUAGAUAUAUGGAGGAACACCAGUGGCGAAGGCGGCUCUCUGGUCUGUAACUGACGCUGAGGCUCGAAAGCGUGGGAGCAAACAGGAUUAGAUACCCUGGUAGUCCACGCCGUAAACGAUGAGUGCUAAGUGUUGGAGGGUUUCCGCCCUUCAGUGCUGCAGCUAACGCAUU